RNAcentral lists this ribosomal RNA (587 nucleotides) under Filobasidium magnum. RNAcentral's name for it is "partial large subunit ribosomal RNA". It matches the Rfam family "Eukaryotic large subunit ribosomal RNA", at positions 92 to 665 of the family's 3401-position model. Lineage: Eukaryota; Fungi; Basidiomycota; Tremellomycetes; Filobasidiales; Filobasidiaceae. The record is from RNAcentral.
AGUGAAGCGGGAAGAGCUCAAAUUUGAAAUCUGGUGGCCUCAGGUCAUCCGAGUUGUAAUCUAUAGAAGUGUUUUCCGUGCUGGCUCAUGUACAAGUCCCUUGGAACAGGGCGUCAUAGAGGGUGAGAAUCCCGUCCUUGACAUGAACUACCAGUGCUCUGUGAUACAUUUUCAACGAGUCGAGUUGUUUGGGAAUGCAGCUCAAAAUGGGUGGUAAAUUCCAUCUAAAGCUAAAUAUUGGCGAGAGACCGAUAGCGAACAAGUACCGUGAGGGAAAGAUGAAAAGCACUUUGGAAAGAGAGUUAAACAGUAUGUGAAAUUGUUGAAAGGGAAACGAUUGAAGUCAGUCGUGCUCUUUGGAUUCAGCCGGUUCUGCCGGUGUACUUCCUUUGAGUGGGGUCAACAUCAGUUUUGAUCGCUGGAUAAAGGCUGGAGGAACGUAGUACCCUCGGGUAAACUUAUAGCCUCCUGUCACAUACAGUGGUUGGGACUGAGGAACGCAGCACGCCUUUAUGGCCGGGAUUCGUCCACGUACGUGCUUAGGAUGUUGACAUAAUGGCUUUAAACGACCCGUCUUGAANCACGGA